AUUUAAAUAGUUUAUUAUAAAAUAUUGAUUUGUGGUAUCAGUGAUAUGAAUUUAUUCAUUUUAAAUU
This 67-nucleotide transfer RNA is filed under the name Melanostoma scalare. RNAcentral describes it as "tRNA-His". RNAcentral also lists the same sequence under 1 other name. Lineage: Eukaryota; Metazoa; Arthropoda; Insecta; Diptera; Syrphidae. The record is from RNAcentral.